RNAcentral lists this long non-coding RNA (432 nucleotides) under Homo sapiens (human). RNAcentral's name for it is "HSALNT0288004". Lineage: Eukaryota; Metazoa; Chordata; Mammalia; Primates; Hominidae. The record is from RNAcentral.
CUGCUCCAGAGGCCAGAACCCGGGCAAACACUCUCGCAGGUCUAGGCAAAUACAGGCUCCGCAUACAAUGCUUCCUCCCUGAGGAUGCUGUAUUCCAAGAAGCAUUCCAAAGGGCCUCUCAUCCUAUGCCCUGGGCAUACCAGAGGCCAGCCAGCAGGGUUGGCCAUAGACGGCCUGCGUGCACGCUAUUGUGCACUGCCUUGCCAACCCAUAGGCUCCUGCAAGUGCAGCAGCGGCUGUGGUGCCUGUUGGUGGGGCUCUACAAGCCCAGGGCCUCUGCCUCCAGCUCCUGAUCUCCUGUGUGGAGUUGACACUGCUGGGGACCUGAGUCCCAGGAAUUCCAGGACUUCCUGAUGGAAAACAGAGAAGAAGCCGGGCGCGGUAUCUCACGCCUUGUAAUCCCAGCACUUUGGAAGGCUGAGGCGGGCGGAU